AGGACAGAUGCAGAUGCUCCCCAGCCUUUUGCAAUCUUCUGGCCCACAGGCUCAGCAAACAUUAUUGAAUAGAUGAAUGUUAAAUGUUUCGCUGAGAUCCUGCUUCAGGGAGCCCUGAAAAUGUUACCAUGUUACAGUCAUGUUUUGAUCAGGAGAGCUACAGAGAAUAUUCUGGAAAAGUUUGAGUAAAUCUUAUGAUAUUUAAAUACAUCGAGUAUUAGAGUUUAUUUCUGACUGGCAGGCAAAUAUGAAAUUGAGAUUCCCAGUAUUCCCACUAUUUAGGUGGAGGCAUUAGCACUGAUGGGAUGCAUAGCCAUGGAUGCUGAAGUCCUGAGUCACUUCAUCAGCAGCAGGAUGAAGGUACCCUGUGAAAUGGGGAUUGCCAAUACGAGGACACCUUCCAGAAUGUCAAGGAGUUCCUGGCUUCAGGGUUUGCGCUGAUGCUUUCUGAUGAUUACGGACCAUUGUUUCUUAUCUCUGACCCUUCUUUUCACCAUGCUGGAGCUUUGCUUAGUGAUGGAAUUGCAAAAUGGCACUAAAACAUCUACUUGAAAAAAAUGCUAUCACCCUAGAAGUAUUAACACAUUGGCAAAAAAAAAAAAAAAAAAAAAAAAAAAAAACCC
This is a non-coding RNA of Sus scrofa (pig), 623 nucleotides long. NCBI's taxonomy places the organism in Eukaryota, Metazoa, Chordata, Mammalia, Artiodactyla, Suidae. The record is from RefSeq and is a predicted model, not a curated record.